Herpailurus yagouaroundi (jaguarundi) is the source of this 860-nucleotide long non-coding RNA. RefSeq lists it as uncharacterized. The record is from RefSeq and is a predicted model, not a curated record. Lineage: Eukaryota; Metazoa; Chordata; Mammalia; Carnivora; Felidae. The transcript has 2 exons.
UCUCUGCGUCCACGUGUGUGACCUCUACCAGGAGAAGGGUCCCUGCCUGGUACCUAGUCGGCUCUUGGAGUGGCCACCAGGCAGUGAUCAUUUAGGCUCUUCUGGGUGGCCCUGGUCACACGGACCUCCCCCUCCGGGACUGUGCCCCUCCCCUGACUACAAUGGGGGAAGUACACCUUCACUCCUCGGCUUCUCAGAAUCCCCCCCCCAGCCCCCAAGAUCGCUGCAGAACCAAACACCCGCUCUAAUUAACACCAGCCUCGCGACCCUAAAUGCCUGCUCGUAUCUCUGGGGCAGGAGAAUUAGGCACGUUAUUUUAAACCGGCCCUGACGUUUAUUCUGCUUUUCCCAGCCAGCCGACACUAUCGUUUUUCUAGCUUGCUUCCUGCCCCUCGCUGCAUUCUGGCCGAUAACAUCUCUGGUUUCAUUCUUACGGAAAGAUUUGCUACGGGAACAGAGAAGCACGUUACCUCUCAGAGCACGGUCCCAUGCCUUAUCUGACAGACCCUCCAGCUCUCAGCUAUUUUGGACACUGGGAAGCCAAGGCAUGUCACAUACCUUUACGAAGAGUGACGAUCUUUGGCCAACGAUGCUCCGACUCAAACACGAGUGACCUAGCCGGAAACCGAGAAGACACCCAUGGUUCCAGAAAAGACGCGUGCGCUGGCCACCCCAAGAAGCCAGGGGUUCACGUGCCUUCCUCCCACGGCGCGUAGGGAGUUUGUGACUCUUUGCUGAGAAGGUGUCUGAGACAUCUUCCACCGGUCCCCACUCUGCAGGCAGCAUCUCGAAGGACAGAGGGAGAGAGAGAGACGCUCCCUAUGUCUUAGAAAAUAAAGCAAAAGAGGGUGGCUCCCCCA